GACGAACGCUGGCGGCGUGCUUAACACAUGCAAGUCGAACGGAAAGGCCCUGCCUGCAGGGUACUCGAGUGGCGAACGGGUGAGUAACACGUGGGUGAUCUGCCCUGCACUUCGGGAUAAGCCUGGGAAACUGGGUCUAAUACCGGAUAGGAGCCAUUUUUAGUGUGAUGGUUGGAAAGUUUUUUCGGUGUAGGAUGAGCUCGCGGCCUAUCAGCUUGUUGGUGGGGUAAUGGCCUACCAAGGCGGCGACGGGUAGCCGGCCUGAGAGGGUGGACGGCCACAUUGGGACUGAGAUCCGGCCCAGACUCCUACGGGAGGCAGCAGUUGGGAAUAUUGCACAAUGGGCGCAAGCCUGAUGCAGCGACGCCGCGUGGGGGAUGACGGCCUUCGGGUUGUAAACUCCUUUCGCUAGGGACGAAGCUUUUUGUGACGGUACCUAGAUAAGAAGCACCGGCUAACUACGUG
Molecule: ribosomal RNA, 465 nt
Filed under: uncultured bacterium
Lineage: Bacteria
Description: partial 16S ribosomal RNA
Rfam family: Bacterial small subunit ribosomal RNA
Source: RNAcentral